RNAcentral lists this ribosomal RNA (444 nucleotides) under uncultured bacterium. RNAcentral describes it as "partial 16S ribosomal RNA". It matches the Rfam family "Bacterial small subunit ribosomal RNA", at positions 339 to 795 of the family's 1533-position model. The record is from RNAcentral.
CUACGGGACGCACCAGUGGGGAAUAUUGCACAGUGGGCGCAAGCCUGAUGCAGCAACGCCGCGUGAGGGAUGAAGGCCUUCGGGUUGUAAACCUCUUUUAGCAGGGAAGAAGCGAAAGUGACGGUACCUGCAGAAAAAGCACCGGCUAACUACGUGCCAGCAGCCGCGGUAAUACGUAGGGUGCAAGCGUUGUCCGGAAUUAUUGGGCGUAAAGAGCUCGUAGGCGGUUUGUCACGUCUGCUGUGAAAAUCCAAGGCUCAACCUUGGACUUGCAGUGGGUACGGGCAGGCUAGAGUGCGGUAGGGGAGAUGGGAAUUCCUGGUGUAGCGGUGGAAUGCGCAGAUAUCAGGAGGAGCACCAAUGGCGAAGGCACAUCUCUGGGCCGUAACUGACGCUGAGGAGCGAAAGCGUGGGGAGCGAACAGGAUUAGAUACUCCCGUAGUC